Molecule: long non-coding RNA, 807 nt
Filed under: Bos taurus (domestic cattle)
Lineage: Eukaryota; Metazoa; Chordata; Mammalia; Artiodactyla; Bovidae
Description: long non-coding RNA NONBTAT006241
Source: RNAcentral
GGAACUCAGUAACUUUUAAUAAUAAAGCAGUUGUCAUUGAUUUCUUUUUUUGUAGACUUCAAUGCUAAAUUGGAUAGAUAUUAAAACUUUUUGUAGUUUAUAAUAAUGUGAAAAAUUACAUAGUAGUUCCCCUUUGCAAAAGACUGUGAUCUUUAAAAGAUUAUGGAGAUAGUAAUGUGUCCAUUUCCAAAAUGAAUACAACAGAAUGAAGAUAGUCACUAAAGCACUUUGUUUAUUUAAAGAUCAUCUUUGCUUAUUAGUGUAGCCUAGUAUAUUUGAGUGAUUCUUCAUGCUUCAAUUAAUUAAGUCCUGGUUAAAGACUGGGCAUUUUCAGAAAAGAUGGAAAUUGAGACCAGACUUCGAGUUAAUCAUGAGUCUGGUGCUCCUGAACUUCAGGCUGGAUAUGCUGUAAAGAACUUGCAGAUACUUUACCAAGUGUACAGACAGAUCAACUAACUUAUAUAACUGAGGGGCUCCUGAAGCUCUGAAAAGAAAGAAAUAAGCAGAAGGGAAUAUCUCCACAUCUCAGAUAUUCCUGGCAGGAAGAAAUUCAGUGUGCCCUGCUGCUAGUCUUAAGUUUUCUUUGCACAGGAGAUCUGCUUGCCCAGGAACACCGUACUCCUCCACUGGGGCAGCCAGGCUACCAUAAAGCUCUUUUAUCUCUGCAAGCUGUUUCUACAGCCCCAAACAACUAGAUGAGUAGCUGAUUAGAUAAAUGCAAGGUUUGUCUUUGUACUUUGAUGGCCCUCUCUUCCUCUUUUAUAAUCCUUAAAAUAAUUUCUACCUCUCACAGAAGGGAUGACUUUU